Molecule: ribosomal RNA, 119 nt
Organism: Lepisosteus oculatus (spotted gar)
Lineage: Eukaryota; Metazoa; Chordata; Actinopteri; Semionotiformes; Lepisosteidae
Source: Ensembl
ACCAGCAGCCAUAUCACCCUGCAACUCACAACUAGCAACUCACUGAAACUAAACAGGUGUGAGCCUGGUCAGUACCUGGAUGGGAGAACUCAAGGGAAAAACUAAGGUUGCUGCUGGAA